CCUACGGGUGGCAGCAGUGGGGAAUAUUGCACAAUGGGGGAAACCCUGAUGCAGCGACGCCGCGUGAGUGAAGAAGUAAUUCUUUACGUAAAGCUCUAUCAGCAGGGAAGCAAAUGACGGUACCUGAGUCCGAAGUCCCGGGUAAAUACGUGCCAGCAGCCGCGGUAAUCCUGCGGGGGCAGGCGUUAUUCGGAAUUACUGGGGGUAAAGGGGGAGUAGAUGGUGCGCCAAGUCUGGAGUGAAAUGCCGCAGGUUAACUGCGGAACUGCCUUGGAAACUGGCGAACUAGAGUGCGAGAGGGGUAAGCGGAAUUCCUAGUGUAGCGGUGAAAUGCGUAGAUAUUAGGAAGAACACCGGUGGCGAAGGCGGCUUACUGGACCGUAACUGACGUUGAGGCUCGAAAGCGUGGGGAGCAAACAGGAUUAGAUACCCCAGUAGUC
RNAcentral lists this ribosomal RNA (440 nucleotides) under uncultured bacterium. RNAcentral describes it as "partial 16S ribosomal RNA". It matches the Rfam family "Bacterial small subunit ribosomal RNA", at positions 338 to 795 of the family's 1533-position model. The record is from RNAcentral.